UACGUAGGGGGCGAGCGUUGUCCGGAUUUAUUGGGCGUAAAGAGCUCGUAGGCGGCUCAUUGCGUCAACCGUGAAAACCUGCCGCUCAACGGUAGGCUUGCGGUUGAUACGGGUGGGCUGGAGUUCGGUAGGGGAGACUGGAAUUCCUGGUGUAGCGGUGAAAUGCGCAGAUAUCAGGAGGAACACCGGUGGCGAAGGCGGGUCUCUGGGCCGAUACUGACGCUGAGGAGCGAAAGCGUGGGGAGCGAACAGG
RNAcentral lists this ribosomal RNA (253 nucleotides) under uncultured bacterium. Its description in RNAcentral is "partial 16S ribosomal RNA". It matches the Rfam family "Bacterial small subunit ribosomal RNA", at positions 524 to 776 of the family's 1533-position model. The record is from RNAcentral.